Non-coding RNA from Salvelinus namaycush (lake trout), 136 nucleotides. RefSeq annotates it as small Cajal body-specific RNA 1. The record is from RefSeq and is a predicted model, not a curated record. Lineage: Eukaryota; Metazoa; Chordata; Actinopteri; Salmoniformes; Salmonidae. The transcript has a single exon.
AUGCACCAGAUACGGACCCGACUGUGAGUUCCGUGACUGUUGGGUUUUAAAAAAGGUGCUACAGAAACCUCAGCCCUGAUAUUUAAGCUCAUGAGUGUGAAGGUGCACUCCUGAGUUAUGGCUCAGAGGCACAGUG